RNAcentral lists this ribosomal RNA (2911 nucleotides) under Klebsiella pneumoniae. RNAcentral describes it as "bacterial LSU rRNA". It matches the Rfam family "Bacterial large subunit ribosomal RNA". Lineage: Bacteria; Pseudomonadati; Pseudomonadota; Gammaproteobacteria; Enterobacterales; Enterobacteriaceae. The record is from RNAcentral.
UUAAGCGACUAAGCGUACACGGUGGAUGCCCUGGCAGUCAGAGGCGAUGAAGGACGUGCUAAUCUGCGAAAAGCGUCGGUAAGGUGAUAUGAACCGUUAUAACCGGCGAUGUCCGAAUGGGGAAACCCAGUGCAAUUCGUUGCACUAUCGUUAACUGAAUACAUAGGUUAACGAGGCGAACCGGGGGAACUGAAACAUCUAAGUACCCCGAGGAAAAGAAAUCAACCGAGAUUCCCCCAGUAGCGGCGAGCGAACGGGGAGCAGCCCAGAGUCUGAAUCAGCUUGUGUGUUAGUGGAACGGUCUGGAAAGUCCGACGGUACAGGGUGAUAGUCCCGUACACCAAAAUGCACAGGCUGUGAACUCGAAGAGUAGGGCGGGACACGUGGUAUCCUGUCUGAAUAUGGGGGGACCAUCCUCCAAGGCUAAAUACUCCUGACUGACCGAUAGUGAACCAGUACCGUGAGGGAAAGGCGAAAAGAACCCCGGCGAGGGGAGUGAAAAAGAACCUGAAACCGUGUACGUACAAGCAGUGGGAGCACCUUUAUGGUGUGACUGCGUACCUUUUGUAUAAUGGGUCAGCGACUUAUAUUCUGUAGCAAGGUUAACCGUAUAGGGGAGCCGCAGGGAAACCGAGUCUUAACUGGGCGUUAAGUUGCAGGGUAUAGACCCGAAACCCGGUGAUCUAGCCAUGGGCAGGUUGAAGGUUGGGUAACACUAACUGGAGGACCGAACCGACUAAUGUUGAAAAAUUAGCGGAUGACUUGUGGCUGGGGGUGAAAGGCCAAUCAAACCGGGAGAUAGCUGGUUCUCCCCGAAAGCUAUUUAGGUAGCGCCUCGUGAACUCAUCUUCGGGGGUAGAGCACUGUUUCGGCUAGGGGGUCAUCCCGACUUACCAACCCGAUGCAAACUACGAAUACCGAAGAAUGUUAUCACGGGAGACACACGGCGGGUGCUAACGUCCGUCGUGAAGAGGGAAACAACCCAGACCGCCAGCUAAGGUCCCAAAGUCAUGGUUAAGUGGGAAACGAUGUGGGAAGGCACAGACAGCCAGGAUGUUGGCUUAGAAGCAGCCAUCAUUUAAAGAAAGCGUAAUAGCUCACUGGUCGAGUCGGCCUGCGCGGAAGAUGUAACGGGGCUAAACCAUGCACCGAAGCUGCGGCAGCGACACGAUGUGUUGUUGGGUAGGGGAGCGUUCUGUAAGCCUGCGAAGGUGGCCUGUGAGGGUUGCUGGAGGUAUCAGAAGUGCGAAUGCUGACAUAAGUAACGAUAAAGCGGGUGAAAAGCCCGCUCGCCGGAAGACCAAGGGUUCCUGUCCAACGUUAAUCGGGGCAGGGUGAGUCGACCCCUAAGGCGAGGCCGAAAGGCGUAGUCGAUGGGAAACAGGUUAAUAUUCCUGUACUUGGUGUUACUGCGAAGGGGGGACGGAGAAGGCUAUGUUAGCCGGGCGACGGUUGUCCCGGUUUAAGCAUGUAGGCUGGUUAUCCAGGCAAAUCCGGAUAAUCAAGGCUGAGGUGUGAUGACGAGGCACUACGGUGCUGAAGUAACAAAUGCCCUGCUUCCAGGAAAAGCCUCUAAGCAUCAGGUAACAUCAAAUCGUACCCCAAACCGACACAGGUGGUCAGGUAGAGAAUACCAAGGCGCUUGAGAGAACUCGGGUGAAGGAACUAGGCAAAAUGGUGCCGUAACUUCGGGAGAAGGCACGCUGGUGUGUAGGUGAAGUCCCUGCGGAUGGAGCUGAGACCAGUCGAAGAUACCAGCUGGCUGCAACUGUUUAUUAAAAACACAGCACUGUGCAAACACGAAAGUGGACGUAUACGGUGUGACGCCUGCCCGGUGCCGGAAGGUUAAUUGAUGGGGUUAUCCGUAAGGAGAAGCUCUUGAUCGAAGCCCCGGUAAACGGCGGCCGUAACUAUAACGGUCCUAAGGUAGCGAAAUUCCUUGUCGGGUAAGUUCCGACCUGCACGAAUGGCGUAAUGAUGGCCAGGCUGUCUCCACCCGAGACUCAGUGAAAUUGAACUCGCUGUGAAGAUGCAGUGUACCCGCGGCAAGACGGAAAGACCCCGUGAACCUUUACUAUAGCUUGACACUGAACAUUGAGCCUUGAUGUGUAGGAUAGGUGGGAGGCUUUGAAGCGUGGACGCCAGUCUGCGUGGAGCCAACCUUGAAAUACCACCCUUUAAUGUUUGAUGUUCUAACGUNNNNNNNNNNNNNNNNNNNNNCGGGGUUGCGGACAGUGUCUGGUGGGUAGUUUGACUGGGGCGGUCUCCUCCCAAAGCGUAACGGAGGAGCACGAAGGUUAGCUAAUCCUGGUCGGACAUCAGGAGGUUAGUGCAAUGGCAUAAGCUAGCUUGACUGCGAGCGUGACGGCGCGAGCAGGUGCGAAAGCAGGUCAUAGUGAUCCGGUGGUUCUGAAUGGAAGGGCCAUCGCUCAACGGAUAAAAGGUACUCCGGGGAUAACAGGCUGAUACCGCCCAAGAGUUCAUAUCGACGGCGGUGUUUGGCACCUCGAUGUCGGCUCAUCACAUCCUGGGGCUGAAGUAGGUCCCAAGGGUAUGGCUGUUCGCCAUUUAAAGUGGUACGCGAGCUGGGUUUAGAACGUCGUGAGACAGUUCGGUCCCUAUCUGCCGUGGGCGCUGGAGAAUUGAGGGGGGCUGCUCCUAGUACGAGAGGACCGGAGUGGACGCAUCACUGGUGUUCGGGUUGUCAUGCCAAUGGCACUGCCCGGUAGCUAAAUGCGGAAGAGAUAAGUGCUGAAAGCAUCUAAGCACGAAACUUGCCCCGAGAUGAGUUCUCCCUGAGACUUUAAGUCUCCUGAAGGAACGUUAAAGACGAUGACGUUGAUAGGCCGGGUGUGUAAGCGCAGCGAUGCGUUGAGCUAACCGGUACUAAUGAACCGUGAGGCUUAACCUU